This 253-nucleotide ribosomal RNA is filed under the name Anaerotignum lactatifermentans. Its description in RNAcentral is "partial 16S ribosomal RNA". It matches the Rfam family "Bacterial small subunit ribosomal RNA", at positions 524 to 776 of the family's 1533-position model. Lineage: Bacteria; Bacillati; Bacillota; Clostridia; Lachnospirales; Anaerotignaceae. The record is from RNAcentral.
UACGUAGGGGGCAAGCGUUAUCCGGAAUUACUGGGUGUAAAGGGAGCGUAGGCGGCAUGGUAAGCCAGAUGUGAAAGCCUCGAGCUUAACUUGAGGAUUGCAUUUGGAACUAUCAAGCUAGAGUACAGGAGAGGAAAGCGGAAUUCCUAGUGUAGCGGUGAAAUGCGUAGAUAUUAGGAAGAACACCAGUGGCGAAGGCGGCUUUCUGGACUGAAACUGACGCUGAGGCUCGAAAGCGUGGGGAGCGAACAGG